GACGAACGCUGGCGGCAUGCUUAACACAUGCAAGUCGAACGGAAAGGCCCUGCUUGCAGGGUACUCGAGUGGCGAACGGGUGAGUAACACGUGGGUGAUCUGCCCUGCACUUCGGGAUAAGCCUGGGAAACUGGGUCUAAUACCGGAUAGGAGCCAUUUUUAGUGUGAUGGUUGGAAAGUUUUUUCGGUGUAGGAUGAGCUCGCGGCCUAUCAGCUUGUUGGUGGGGUAAUGGCCUACCAAGGCGGCGACGGGUAGCCGGCCUGAGAGGGUGGACGGCCACAUUGGGACUGAGAUACGGCCCAGACUCCUACGGGAGGCAGCAGUGGGGAAUAUUGCACAAUGGGCGCAAGCCUGAUGCAGCGACGCCGCGUGGGGGAUGACGGCCUUCGGGUUGUAAACUCCUUUCGCUAGGGACGAAGCUUUUUGUGACGGUACCUAGAUAAGAAGCACCGGCUAACUACGUG
Molecule: ribosomal RNA, 465 nt
Filed under: uncultured bacterium
Lineage: Bacteria
Description: partial 16S ribosomal RNA
Rfam family: Bacterial small subunit ribosomal RNA
Source: RNAcentral